UGCCGAGGCUUGCAAUUAAAAGUAGCCUACAAACAAUACACAAGGUAUGCUAUGAAAAUAUUUAUGGGUGUAAAUAUGGGUGAAGCUUGGCAACAUUGUACCUUAGCAAAGUAAAACAACAACAACAACGACGACGACGUCGCCAUCUUUAAUUAAUUAGUUAUGGGCCGCCUGGCUAGCAGCUAAUUAGUGACCCGAGUCAAACACACCCACAGAUGCGCGCUGGCUAACAUGCUAACUAUGCUAAAUGCUAACCUGCUCACGGUGGGUGACUGCGCCUCGUUAAGCUCAACGAACUGAGGAACAGUGGGACGGAGAGAGGACAGGUUAUACUGGGACCAGAGAGGCCGAGUGGACUGGUUAUACCGGGACCAGAGAGGCCGAGUGGACUGGUUAUACUGGGACCAGAGAGGUUGAACCAGGAGCAGACUGGUUAUACUGUGACCAGAGAGGUUGAACCAGGAGCAGACAGUGGAGGACAGGUGGAGCUGCAGACUGACGUUCAUACAGAUGAGAUGAACCUCAAGCGAGUGUGAGCUCGAACCCAAUGCUGGAUCCAAGGUCAGAUAGACCCCACGGUGACUGGAAAAGCCUUGUGGGUCCUCUGAUGAAGACUGUUGGGCUGUUAUGAUGUCACAAGUUCAUUACUGGUGACUGGAAAAGCUCCUUGGUGCUUCGGACAAAGAUUCUAGCUGCUGCAUCUCUCCAGAACUCUGCCAUUCCACCCCAUUCACUUCCUGUCAUCUUAUCCAGAGCCCAGGACAAGCUCAUCAAAAGCCUAUUUCUCUUCACGUCCAGAUCCUCAACUCCAUCUUCAUCUCAUCACCACCACCAGCGUCUAGACUCCAUAGGGGAGGUUCCCUAAUCUACUACGUCUUAAUGACCCUCCUAGAAUAUAUGACAUCACGAUGGGGUCUAAUCCACAAAGACUUUUCACAUUUCUCAUUCUAAUGUGCACAUGUUAAUAAAUAUUCUUUCCUCUCAGAACGAGUCGCUCCUGACAGAAAUAGGGAACUACUGUAUAUAAUUAACAAAGAAUUGGGGUUGUUUUGGGUACUUAUCCAUAGUCAGUGUCUUAAAGACAGCAGAUGGCAGUUUGGAGAAGCAGGCAGUAGUAUCAGCACAGAAGCUGAGUAAUGCACUAGUGUGGAAGAGGGUCAGCAGCAAAACAUAGCCACCUAAGAAGGCCCACCUAGAAAAAUUAAUAUCAGUUUAAGAGUACACUGUAUUUAGGAAAUUUUCUCCACCUUACCUUGCUGUCAGACAGCUCUUUCCAGCAGGGAACUGAACUAAAAACUGAAACUUAUCUAUGCUCUCUUCAUAGUUAGUUUAUGCUGCCUCCAUCAGUUAGUUUGGUUGUGUUAUUGUGUGACUGGCGUUUUAAAGUAGUUGGUUUGGAUUCACCAAAGUCACACAAUAACACAAACUAACCACUCGAGACAUUGGAAGACCUUCAGCUCCCAUGUUCUGUGAGGCACAAGUACUGUUUUUGUCAGUGGAGUCUGGUGGCUUUGAAGAGAGCAUAAGUAAAUUUAAGUGUCAGUUAAGUUCCCUGUCAGAAAGGGCUGUCUGGCAGCAAGGAAAAAUGGUCAGAAUAUUCUAAAUAUAGCCUUCACUUCAACUGCUAUGGAUUUAUUUUAGGUGGGCCAUACUUUUUUUUUUAUUUAACUAGGAAGGGUGAUGGAUGCAGUCUCAAUUAACCCUUGUCUGAUGAUUUCAUAUAAUUGAAACAGUCUAUGAAAGGUUGCCAAAUUUAGCAGAAUUUCUAGUCUUGUUUUUUCAGAGAUAAUUUAAUUUUCUGUGGUUCCAGGUGCUUCACUACAGCAUUCAUUAGAUCCGACUGUGUUGGCGCAGUUCUCUCUUUCCAGUUAAGAUCAACUUGUGUGCUACAGGGCUGAAAAAUGACAGCAUGAUGUGUUCCACACUGUCCUUUACUAAACAGGUGGGCUGUUUUUUAAGUGGCUAAGUUAUGUUAUGUUGCUGCCCCCAUCCACAGCAGUACAUUGUUGAGAUACCAUGGCGGUACUCCUGCUUACCUCUCCAAACUGGGGUCACGCCAACAGCCAUCUAUUGUAGGUAUACACUGACUUUGGAUAAGUACCUCAUACAACACUUAAAAAAGUCUGAAGUAUCUCUUUGUCAUAUUAGCAGUGAACUGUUUUGCCUUUAACCUAAUGUUAAUAACAUAUUAUAAAAAUAAAAUAGACAGAUCAAAAACUCUUUUCCCUCUGAAAGAGUGUGUCAGUGACCCAUGUCAAUUCAAAUCUGUUAAUCUUAGGAUAGCAAAGCAACGAUCCGCCCAGUGCUCACUAUGAUUGGCUAGUGCUUGUUGCCUUCAUUGGUUGGAUUGGUUAGGUGUAGACAAGAGGAGUGUGAUUGGUUAGGGUUAGGGUAAGAAAGUCAGGGUAAGGCAGGCCAUUCCUUCUCUAUCCAAGGAUUCACAAAUUCACCACCGCAACAGAAGACCAAGACACAAUGUAUACAAACUUGGGCUGGAAACUGUUGCUUACUAGCUGUGUGCUAACAGUGUUUUUGUUUGCAGUGGUAGUGAAGAGUAAGGACACCACCACAGGGUGUCGACAGUUAUCAGACAGUUCAAUUUAAUGCUUUUUAAGACCCGUCCAAUACACUUUUUAAUCAAAUUUAGGACAGAUUUUUGGACAAAUCAUGUUUUAGUUAUUUAAGCAUCGCAGGUAAGCAAGUAGUAUGUGUGUGGUCUUGUGCAGAGGUAGGUGUUAUGUAAGAAUAUGGUUAUUAGAGUGAGUUAAGUCAAUCUACAUUUGCAACUAUUAAGUAAAAUGACAGUAUUAUAGUUUUUUAAAGGUUUGUAACAUUAGAAUGUGGACUUUUACAGAGAAAGGCUUCACUCAUUUUCACACGAAGUUAAAACAUGAAUAAAUUAAAUUAUAUAAAAUGUUUGCAGUAGUUAAGACCUCACAAAUUCAAAUUUAAGAAUAUUUAAUGUCUUUUAAGGCCUUAUUGUUGUAACUUAAGACUUUUAUGGACCUGUAGACACCCUGCACCAACGGCUAAACAGAAUGAUGUUAACUUACUAACCUGUUUAAUGUGCUGCAGCCGGACAGCUAAUUAGCUAUCUAGUAAGCAAACUGCAAAUCUCCCUGAUGAAAUGUUUGUUUGCUCAUCCAGGAACCAUACUGCAACACAUGCAUCCUUGUUUGCUGGUUAGACAGUUAAGCUGAAUUUAUUUGUUGUAAAGCCCUGUGAGGCAAAUUGUGAUUUGUGAUAUUGGGCUUUAUAAAUAAAAUUGAUUGAAUUGAUUGAUUAAGUUGGAUGUGAAGGAAAAAUUAGAUUGUUGUUCAAAGUCUGUGGCUCUUGUUUUGUGUCGCAGGCUGCUGUCAGGUUGUUAGUCAGUGUGACCAUCUGCUUGUGAUACAACUGCUUUAUACAAACAUGGUUUAAAAUGAAACUAUUUGAUUAGCUGCAUGAAAACAACACUUUUCUGCAAAUGCUAAAACAGGGAGCACCAUAAUGAAACCAAACAGUGUUGAAUAUUAAUGUCUCCCUUUUGGGUACAGAUUUAUAUACUGUAUGUAUAUGUAUUAUGCAGAUAUG
Molecule: long non-coding RNA, 3573 nt
Organism: Epinephelus moara (kelp grouper)
Lineage: Eukaryota; Metazoa; Chordata; Actinopteri; Perciformes; Serranidae
Exons: 3
Source: RefSeq, a predicted model, not a curated record